UCCUACGGGGGGCAGCAGUGGGGAAUAUUGCACAAUGGGGGUAACCCUGAUGCAGCGACGCCGCGUGAGUGAAGAAGUAUUUCGGUAUGUAAAGCUCUAUCAGCAGGGAAGAAAAUGACGGUACCUGACUAAGAAGCCCCGGCUAACUACGUGCCAGCAGCCGCGGUAAUACAUAGGGGGCAAGCGUUAUCCGGAUUUACUGGGUGUAAAGGGAGCGUAGACGGCGCGGCAAGUCUGAAGUGAAAGGCAGGGGCUUAACCCCUGAACUGCUUUGGAAACUGCCAUGCUAGAGUGCUGGAGAGGUA
This 305-nucleotide ribosomal RNA is filed under the name uncultured bacterium. RNAcentral describes it as "bacterial SSU rRNA". It matches the Rfam family "Bacterial small subunit ribosomal RNA", at positions 337 to 659 of the family's 1533-position model. The record is from RNAcentral.